GGGGAUAUAGCUCAGUGGUAGAGUGCAUGCUCAGCAUGCACGAGGUCCUCGGUUCAAUCCCCGGUAUCUCCA
This 72-nucleotide transfer RNA is filed under the name Camelus bactrianus (Bactrian camel). It matches the Rfam family "tRNA". Rfam says of the family: Transfer RNA (tRNA) molecules are approximately 80 nucleotides in length. Their secondary structure includes four short double-helical elements and three loops (D, anti-codon, and T loops). Lineage: Eukaryota; Metazoa; Chordata; Mammalia; Artiodactyla; Camelidae. RNAcentral also lists the same sequence under 2 other names. The record is from Rfam by way of RNAcentral.